RNAcentral lists this transfer RNA (73 nucleotides) under Fibrobacter sp. RNAcentral's name for it is "tRNA-Pro". It matches the Rfam family "tRNA". From Rfam's summary of the family: Transfer RNA (tRNA) molecules are approximately 80 nucleotides in length. Their secondary structure includes four short double-helical elements and three loops (D, anti-codon, and T loops). The record is from RNAcentral. Lineage: Bacteria; Pseudomonadati; Fibrobacterota; Fibrobacteria; Fibrobacterales; Fibrobacteraceae.
CGGAGUGUGGCGCAGAUGGUAGCGCGCUGUGUUCGGAACGCAGAGGUCGCAGGUUCGAGCCCUGUCACUCCGA